This 492-nucleotide ribosomal RNA is filed under the name uncultured bacterium. RNAcentral describes it as "bacterial SSU rRNA". It matches the Rfam family "Bacterial small subunit ribosomal RNA", at positions 28 to 524 of the family's 1533-position model. The record is from RNAcentral.
GACGAACGCUGGCGGCGUGCUUAACACAUGCAAGUCGAGCGGUAAGGCCUGCUUCGGUGGGUACACGAGCGGCGAACGGGUGAGUAACACGUGGGUGACCUGCCCUUAGCUCUGGGAUAAGCCUGGGAAACUGGGUCUAAUACCGGAUAUGACCAUAUGUCGCAUGGUGUGUGGUGGAAAGCCUGGUUGUUGUGACUGGGUGGCUGGGGGAUGGGGCCCGCGGCCUAUCAGCUUGUUGGUGGGGUGAUGGCCUACCAAGGCGACGACGGGUAGCCGGCCUGAGAGGGCGACCGGCCACACUGGGACUGAGACACGGCCCAGACUCCUACGGGAGGCAGCAGUGGGGAAUCUUGCGCAAUGGGCGAAAGCCUGACGCAGCGACGCCGCGUGGAGGACGAAGGUCUUCGGACUGUAAACUCCUUUCAUGGGGAGAACACUGACUUAACCCCAGGAAGAAGCACCGGCUAACUCCGUGCCAGCCGCCGCGGUAAC